GGACUACAGGGGUAUCUAAUCCUGUUUGAUCCCCACGCUUUCGCGCCUCAGCGUCAGUUGUCGUCCAGAUAGCCGCCUUCGCCACCGGUGUUCCUCCUAAUAUCUACGUAUUUCACCACUACAUUAGGAAUUCCGCUAUCCCCUCCGACACUCCAGCUUUACAGUUUCAAAGGCAGUUCUUGGGUUGAGCCCAAGGAUUUCACCCCUGACUUGAAAAGCCGCCUACGCGCGCUUUACGCCCAGUGAUUCCGAACAACGCUAGCACCCUUCGUAUUACCGCGGCUGCUGGCAC
RNAcentral lists this ribosomal RNA (292 nucleotides) under uncultured bacterium. RNAcentral's name for it is "partial 16S ribosomal RNA". The record is from RNAcentral.